RNAcentral lists this ribosomal RNA (494 nucleotides) under uncultured bacterium. RNAcentral describes it as "partial 16S ribosomal RNA". It matches the Rfam family "Bacterial small subunit ribosomal RNA", at positions 28 to 507 of the family's 1533-position model. The record is from RNAcentral.
GACGAACGCUGGCGGCGUGCUUAACACAUGCAAGUCGAACGGAAAGGCCUGCUUUCCCUUGUGGGUUGCGGGGACUCGAGUGGCGAACGGGGGAGGAACACGUGACUGAUCUGUCACCAACCUUGGUAUAAGCCUGGGAAACUGGGUCUAAUGCCCGAUAGGACUGCAGGGUGGUAUGAGUGGUGGCAAACGGUUUUCUACUGGUGGGGGCUGAGCUCGCGGCGUGUCAGCUUGUUGGUGGGGUAGUGGCCUACCAAGGCGGCGACGGGUAGCCGGCCUGAGAGGGUGGACGGCGACAUUGGGACUGAGAUACCGCCCAGGCUCCUACGGGCGGCAGCAGUGGGGACUAUUGGACGAUGUGCGGAAGCCUGAUGCAGCGACGCCGCGUGGGUGAUGCCGGGCUUCGGGUUGUAAACUCCUUUCGGCCGCGAGGAAGCCACCUGGUUGGAAGGGUGGUGACGGUAGUGUUAGAAGAAGCACCGGCUAACUACGUG